AUUGAACGCUGGCGGCAUGCUUUACACAUGCAAGUCGAACGGCAGCGCGGGCUUCGGCCUGGCGGCGAGUGGCGAACGGGUGAGUAAUGCAUCGGAACGUGCCCAGUAGUGGGGGAUAGCCCGGCGAAAGCCGGAUUAAUACCGCAUACGACCUGAGGGUGAAAGCGGGGGACCGAAAGGCCUCGCGCUAUUGGAGCGGCCGAUGUCGGAUUAGCUAGUUGGUGGGGUAAAGGCUUACCAAGGCGACGAUCCGUAGCUGGUCUGAGAGGACGACCAGCCACACGGGGACUGAGACAGGGCCCAGACUCCUACGGGAGGCAGCAGUGGGGAAUUUUGGACAAGGGGGGCAACCCUGAUCCAGCCAUGCCGCGUGCGGGAAGAAGGCCCUCGGGUUGUAAACCGCUUUUGUUCGGGAAGAAAUCCUCUGGGCUAAUACCCCGGGGGGAUGACGGUACCGGAAGAAUAAGCACCGGCUAACUACGUG
Molecule: ribosomal RNA, 484 nt
Filed under: uncultured bacterium
Lineage: Bacteria
Description: partial 16S ribosomal RNA
Rfam family: Bacterial small subunit ribosomal RNA
Source: RNAcentral